This 253-nucleotide ribosomal RNA is filed under the name uncultured bacterium. RNAcentral describes it as "partial 16S ribosomal RNA". It matches the Rfam family "Bacterial small subunit ribosomal RNA", at positions 524 to 776 of the family's 1533-position model. The record is from RNAcentral.
UACGGAGGGUGCAAGCGUUAUCCGGAUUUACUGGGUUUAAAGGGUGUGUAGGCGGACUUUUAAGUCAGCGGUGAAAUCUCCGGGCUCAGCCCGGAAACUGCCAUUGAUACUAUUGGUCUUGAAUAUUGUGGAGGUGGGCGGAACGGGUCAUGUAGCGGUGAAAUGCUUAGAGAUGACCCGGAACACCGAUUGCGAAGGCAGCCCACUACGCAAUGAUUGACGCUGAGGCACGAAAGCGUGGGGAUCAAACAGG